UGAACAAAUUUUAAUAGGAGGCAAGUAGAAUGGGACUUGGCAAUCUAUAACUCAAACUGCUGAUCUAAUAACGGACAAGGAAAAACUAAAGGAAACCAAUGGUGGAGAAGAUGCGAAGAGACCGUAUUAAUGGUAGCAUUGAAAAACUGAGGCAGAUACUGGAAAAGAUUUUUCCAAGGCAACAACUCAGCUGUAAACAGAAGAAAUCUGACAUUCUGGAAAUGUUGGUGAGCUUCAUGAAAUGGCAUCAACAGAUGCAGACUAAAGGCAGAAGACCCUUACAAAACAGCUCUAGAUUACAAAGAAGGUCAACCCAGGUGUUCACAGGAAACAAUGAACUUCAUUUCUCUCAGUGACAGAAGGAAAGAAAUUUAAAUGAAAAUGAGAAACCUUUUUCAACAAUCUGCAACUGUUUCUGAGGGCAUCAGUUGCCCCAUAUCCCCAGUGACACCAUUUCCUUGUCAACUUUUUACCCAACAGACCAUGAACACUAUCAUACCUGUUUGGAGACCCUGGCUAAUGUAAACUUUUUAAUGUACUUGUUUGUUUUGAAACCAGAGGAAGAUAUAGCGUUAUGAAAGUUCCGUCAGCCUCUUUCAGUGGGAAAUACUGAUUCCCAUGAAAAUUUCACUUAGCAAGUGACUUUACAUCUUUGUUCAUUCCUUCAUAUUGAAGGCUGUACCUAAUCCACCAAGUGGUGUAAGUGUUAUUUUGGGACAUUUCCUUUUUUGUUAUUAUGGCCAUGUGUUCUAUGUAAGCACAGAGCACUCAGUCUUCUAUACUGAAGAUGUGUGCUACCAAUGUUACUUGUGUAACUAACAACCAGAUGUAGGAGUUAAACUCCAUGACAGCUACUUAAACAUACUGUUUAAAUGUAAACGCCAGGGUAUGUGUUGCAACGGGUCUACCUGAUAACACCGACGUGUCAAAACACCGACAACGAAAUAACCGACACGACAAA
Long non-coding RNA from Protopterus annectens (West African lungfish), 961 nucleotides. RefSeq lists it as uncharacterized. The transcript has 3 exons. NCBI's taxonomy places the organism in Eukaryota, Metazoa, Chordata, Ceratodontiformes, Protopteridae. The record is from RefSeq and is a predicted model, not a curated record.